CUACGGGCCGCUGCAGUGAGGAAUAUUGCACAAUGGGCGCAAGCCUGAUGCAGCAACGCCGCGUGAGGGACGAAGGCCCUCGGGUCGAAAACCUCUUUUCCGAGGGAAGAGACAAGGACGGUACCUCGGGAAUAAGUCUCGGCUAACUACGUGCCAGCAGCCGCGGUAAAACGUAGGAGGCGAGCGUUAUCCGGAUUUACUGGGCGUAAAGCGCGCGCAGGCGGUUUCGUGAGUCGGACGUGAAAGCUCCUGGCUUAACUGGGAGAGGCCGUUCGAUACUGCGGGACUUGAGGUUGGGAGAGGGGUGUGGAAUUCCCGGUGUAGUGGUGGAAUGCGUAGAUAUCGGGAGGAACACCAGUGGCGAAGGCGGCACCCUGGCCCAUACCUGACGCUGAGGUGCGAAAGCGUGGGGAGCAAACAGGAUUAGAUACCCUCGUAGUC
RNAcentral lists this ribosomal RNA (441 nucleotides) under uncultured bacterium. RNAcentral describes it as "partial 16S ribosomal RNA". It matches the Rfam family "Bacterial small subunit ribosomal RNA", at positions 339 to 795 of the family's 1533-position model. The record is from RNAcentral.